Molecule: ribosomal RNA, 254 nt
Filed under: uncultured bacterium
Lineage: Bacteria
Description: partial 16S ribosomal RNA
Rfam family: Bacterial small subunit ribosomal RNA
Source: RNAcentral
UACGGGGGGGGCAAGCGUUGUUCGGAAUUACUGGGCGUAAAGGGCUCGUAGGCGGCCAACUAAGUCAGACGUGAAAUCCCUCGGCUUAACCGGGGAACUGCGUCUGAUACUGGAUGGCUAGAGUGUGGGAGAGGGAUGCGGAAUUCCAGGUGUAGCGGUGAAAUGCGUAGAUAUCUGGAGGAACACCGGUGGCGAAGGCGGCAUCCUGGGCCACGACUGACGCUGAGUGAGCGAAAGCCAGGGGAGCAGACGGG